Molecule: long non-coding RNA, 1927 nt
Organism: Callithrix jacchus (white-tufted-ear marmoset)
Lineage: Eukaryota; Metazoa; Chordata; Mammalia; Primates; Cebidae
Source: Ensembl
CCCACAUUCAUACUUUUGGUGAAUUAGUAUCUAUUUUAUGUAUUUUAAUUUUAAGGUCAGAAUGUUUUAUAAGCAGGAAGUACAUCUUGUUUUUUGAAAAUGAUUAAUCUGUCUUUUUAAAUAUUGAACCACAUGCUGUUACCAGUCGUUUUGGUUAGAGUGCACUGUGUCAGACACCUCCCGUGUGCGUGGCUUCAUGGUGAACUCAACACUGAUGAAAAUGUUGUUCCUACCCUGGAAGAAACCGUAGCCUAUUGUGGGUUAAUCUGGCCACUCUUCAGUAGAGCUGCUGCAGUUUGUUGGGGGUCCACUCCAGUUCCUAGUUACCCUCGAUUUUCCAGUACCUGGAAGUAUCGCCAGUGAAGGCUUUGAAAUAGCAAAGAUGGUAGCCUGUCUCUUCUACUGGGAUCACCAUCCCAGGGAGAUACAGAUUGUUGCUGGUCCCAAUGCACCUGCAGGAAGUGAUUGAAGACCCUGGUUCAGAGUUCUCACCCAGUCAGAAGAAAUGGAAUUGGGAACCCUCUCAAAGAAGCUCACUGGAUAUGCUUUUGUCAAACAGAUGUGUUGCACUGGAGUACCGCUUCUGUCCCCGGUUGUCUUGGGCUCUCCAAAGCCUGGGGGCUGGAAUACCUACAUUUUCCAAACAGCGAAGAUGGCAGCCUGCCCAUCUCUUUGGAAUCUCCAUCCCAGGAAAUUUGCAAAUCUCUGUAGGCAAGAGAACAGUGGUGGGGAUGGCUGGAGGCCCUGGUUGGAAGGUCCCACUCAGUGAGGAGGAAUGGAUCAGGGACCUGCUUAAAGAAGCAGUCUGGCCACGUUUUAGGAGAGCAACUCUUCUGUGCUGGGGGAUCCUUUCAGCCCUCGGUCAGUUUGGACGCUUCAAAGCCCACAGGCUGGAAGAGCUGAGUCAUCUAAACAGUAAAGCUGGCAGUCUACCCUUUCUCCCAGGAACUUUGUCACAGGGACAUGGAUGAAUCUGGAGAACAUCAUCCUCAGCAAACUGACACAAGAACAGAAAACGAAACACCGCAUAUUCUCACUCAUAGGUGGGUGAUGAAAAAUGAGAAUGUGUGGACACAGAAGAGUACUAAACACUGGGGUCUAUUGGGGGGAAAUGGGGAGGGCCAGUGGGAGGGGUGGUGGGGAGGGAUAGCCUGGGGAGAAAUGUCAAAUGUGGGUGAACGGAAGAAAGAAAGCAAAACACACUGCCAUGUGUGUACCUAUGCAACUGUCUUGCAUGUUCUGCACAUGUACCCCCAAACCUAAAAUCCAAUAAAAAAUUAAAAAAAAAAAAAAAGGAAAGAUUUGGACAUAAACCCACACACAGGGAGAGUGCCCAUGUGCAUAUUGCUGCCAGAAAUUAAGAACUACCAGGAGCUAAGAGACAGGUCUGGAAAUUAUCCUUCCUUAGCACCUUCAGAAGUAGCAUGGCAUGGCCCUCCUGACGCCUUAAUUUUAAAUGUAUUUGCUUUCUUUUUUUCUUUCCUUUGAGGUGGAGUCUUGUCCCGUUGUCCAUUACUGAAGAACAGUGGUGCGAUCUUAGCUCAGUGCAAUCUCUGUCUCUCAGGUUUUACUGCCUCAGCCUUCCAAAGUGCUGGGAUUACAGGCAUGAGCCACCACACCCUGUCGAUUUUAAAUUUUUGAUCUUCAGAACUAUGAGACAAUAAAUUGUUGUUGUUUCAAGUGGCUGAAUUUAUGGUGCUUUACUUUGUAGCCCUAGCAAACUAACACAGGUGGGGUUUGCAUUACAAUGGACUAUUCAUCUCUUUUAGGGAUCUACAAAUGCAUGGUAUAAUCAAAAGAAAUAAUUACCAUUGAGUAAGUACUUAAUAGAGUUGUUCAGAAGAGGUCCUAUGGAAUUUCAGAGGAAGAAAUGCAUAUAAAAAAGUUACUUUUACCUCUAGAGAACACAGGACACAUAGGUAGGGUG